Molecule: non-coding RNA, 30 nt
Filed under: Mus musculus (house mouse)
Lineage: Eukaryota; Metazoa; Chordata; Mammalia; Rodentia; Muridae
Source: RNAcentral
UNGCUUAUGAACCAUGAUAAUCUUUUUGCC